RNAcentral lists this ribosomal RNA (609 nucleotides) under Salmonella enterica subsp. enterica. RNAcentral's name for it is "partial 23S ribosomal RNA". It matches the Rfam family "Bacterial large subunit ribosomal RNA", at positions 580 to 1190 of the family's 2925-position model. The record is from RNAcentral. Lineage: Bacteria; Pseudomonadati; Pseudomonadota; Gammaproteobacteria; Enterobacterales; Enterobacteriaceae.
CAGGUUUACCUGUGUGACUGCGUACCUUUUGUAUAAUGGGUCAGCGACUUAUAUUCUGUAGCAAGGUUAACCGAAUAGGGGAGCCGGAGGGAAACCGAGUCUUAAUUGGGCGUUAAGUUGCAGGGUAUAGACCCGAAACCCGGUGAUCUAGCCAUGGGCAGGUUGAAGGUUGGGUAACACUAACUGGAGGACCGAACCGACUAAUGUUGAAAAAUUAGCGGAUGACCUGUGGCUGGGGGUGAAAGGCCAAUCAAACCGGGAGAUAGCUGGUUCUCCCCGAAAGCUAUUUAGGUAGCGCCUCGUGAACUCAUCUCCGGGGGUAGAGCACUGUUUCGGCUAGGGGGCCAUCCCGGCUUACCAACCCGAUGCAAACUGCGAAUACCGGAGAAUGUUAUCACGGGAGACACACGGCGGGUGCUAACGUCCGUCGUGAAGAGGGAAACAACCCAGACCGCCAGCUAAGGUCCCAAAGUCAUGGUUAAGUGGGAAACGAUGUGGGAAGGCCCAGACAGCCAGGAUGUUGGCUUAGAAGCAGCCAUCAUUUAAAGAAAGCGUAAUAGCUCACUGGUCGAGUCGGCCUGCGCGGAAGAUGUAACGGGGCUAAACCAU